UGGAGAUCGAUCGAUCCAAGAGGGCGAAUUUGGCUUUGAAAGUUGAAUCAGUUUUAUUUUUGUGAUAAUUUAGUUUUCGGUUUGGAGAUUGAUUUGGAUUGUUUAGAUUUAAGUUUCUCUGAUCAUCGGAUUUCUAAGAGGAUAUAUGAUUCAUUCUUUGAAUCGUUUUAUAUCUUAUGUUUUGAUGUUUUCAUUUGUCGUGGUUUUCUUUUCGUCUUGUUUAAUCAUAUGAAUCCAAUGUAGAAUAUUUUAGCUUGAUUAUAAUUACAUAGAUUGUUUUUUUAUCAAAUUAGAGAUUCAUGCAUUGCUUCAUCUAUGUCUGUUUUUCUCAUUUCAUCACUGAUUUUAGAAAGGGUUUGAUAUGGUUGAUCUAGAACAAUACUUCUAUAUGGAUUAGACACAUAUUUUGGUUAGGAGUUUUUUAGGCCUUAUUUCAUUCUACAGAAGGUUUAUCAGAGAUUUCAGUACCAUAGCAAAUAUUAUUUCAAAUUGUCUGAAAAAAUGAUCAUUUGUUUGUUGGAUUUCAAGAGCUGAUUUAUUUCUGUUUGAAGAUCUAUAUCUUCUUCUGAGUUUUGAUAAUAUUAUUCUCAAAGACUGCAUCACUUCCACCCUUCGCUACUUGUCUCUCCUUUUUGAUGGUUUCUCGACGAUCAUGGUUUUUUUUUGGCGAUUGGUCUAUUCAUGCACUGCUUCAUCUAUGUCUGUUUUUCUCAUUUCAUCGUUGAUUUUUAAAAGGGUUUGAUAUGGUUGAUAUGGAACAACAUUUCAUAUGGAUUAUAUACAGAUUUUUGAUUGGUGUCUAAAUCAGAUAUUAUUAGUUUAUUACAGAGUUUUCUCAUUAACACACUAGUUUAUCUUAUGUUGGCAAGUGAUAUUUCAAUCUGCAAAUUUUGAAAAAUCAAACAAGUUGGAUUGGAGAUUGAUGGUUUUCAUUAGUUCUGUAUAGUUUUGACAAAAUUUGUGGUUUUGCAUUACUUUUUUGUAGAUACUGAUUUGAAUGUGAUUUAUUUUUAAAAGGUUUACUAAGCAUAAUCCUUUAUGGUUUAUCGAAAUGGAUUUGUAUUGCAUAUGUUUAAUCCUUUGGCAUUACACAACCUUCUAUAUAUUAUAUUAAAUAAACAACUUCUUUAUAUGAUCGAGUACAAAUUAAUAAAUUAUAUAUUCAGAUCGAUUUCAGUUACAGAGAUUAUAGAUACUUGUCAUUUUAGAGAUUGAUUUGGAUUGUUUAGAUUUAGGUUUCUCUGAUCGUUGGAUUUCUAAAAGGAUAUUUGAUUCAUUGAAUCAUUUUAUUUCUUAUGUUUUGAUGUUUUCAUCAAUCGUGUUUUUCUUUUCGGGUGCUUAAUCAUAUGGAUCCAAUGCAGAAUAUUCUAGCUUGAUUAUAGUUACAAAGAUUGAUUUUUUUUAUCAAAUUUGAGAUUCAUGCACUACUUCAUCUAUGUCUGUUUUUCCAAUUUCAUCGUUGAUUUUUGAAAGGUUUUGAUAUGGUUGAUCUAGAACAACAUUCUAUAUGGAUUACAUAUAGAUUUUGGAUUGGUCUAAAUAAGAAAUUCUUAGUUGAUUACAAAGUUUUCUCAUUAACAUACUAGUUUAAUUAUCUUAUUUCGGCAAGUGAUAUUUCAAUCUACAAAUUAUGAUAAAUCAAACAAGUUUGAUUGGAGAUUGAUGGCUUUAAUUAGUUCUGUAUAGUUUUUGCUAACUUUGUGGUAUUGUAUUAGUUUUUUGUAGAUACCGAUUUGAAUGUGAUUUGUUUUUAAAAGGUUUACUGAGCAUAAUCCUUUAUGGUUUAUCGAAAUGGAUUUGUAUUGCAUAUGUUUAAUCCUUUGGCAUUACACAACCUUCUAUAAUAUAUUAAAUAAACAAAUUCUUCAUAUGAUCGAGUACAAAUUAAUAAAUUAUAUAUUCAGAUCGAUUUCAGUUACAGAGAUUAUAGAUACUUGUCAUUUUAGAGAUUGAUUUGAAUUGUUUAUAUUUAGGUUUCUCUGAUCGUUGGAUUUCUAAAAUGAUAUUUGAUUCAUUGAAUCAUUUUAUUUCUUAUGUUUUGAUGUUUUCAUCAAUCGUGUUUUUCUUUUCGAGUGCUUAAUCAUAUGGAUCCAAUGCAGAAUAUUCUAGCUUGAUUAUAGUUACAAAGAUUGAUUUUUUUUUAUCAAAUUUGAGAUUCAUGCACUACUUCAUCUAUGUCUGUUUUUCCAAUUUCAUCGUUGAUUUUUGAAAG
RNAcentral lists this long non-coding RNA (2212 nucleotides) under Zostera marina. RNAcentral describes it as "long non-coding RNA (ZMAR_LNC005835)". The record is from RNAcentral. Lineage: Eukaryota; Viridiplantae; Streptophyta; Magnoliopsida; Alismatales; Zosteraceae.